GGGUUAAAAGCCAAAAACGGUAUUUAGCUGUUAACUAAAACUUUGUGAAUUCUCACUUAACCCA
This 64-nucleotide transfer RNA is filed under the name Bugula neritina. RNAcentral's name for it is "tRNA-Asn". The record is from RNAcentral. Lineage: Eukaryota; Metazoa; Bryozoa; Gymnolaemata; Cheilostomatida; Bugulidae.